CCUACGGGUGGCUGCAGUGGGGAAUAUUGGACAAUGGGGGCAACCCUGAUCCAGCCAUGCCGCGUGUGUGAAGAAGGCCCUCGGGUUGUAAAGCACUUUCAGUGAGGAAGAACGCCUGGUGGUUAAUACCCAUCAGGAAAGACAUCACUCACAGAAGAAGCACCGGCUAACUCCGUGCCAGCAGCCGCGGUAAUACGGAGGGUGCGAGCGUUAAUCGGAAUUACUGGGCGUAAAGCGCGCGUAGGUGGCUUGAUAAGCCGGUUGUGAAAGCCCCGGGCUCAACCUGGGAACGGCAUCCGGAACUGUCAAGCUAGAGUGCAGGAGAGGAAGGUAGAAUUCCCGGUGUAGCGGUGAAAUGCGUAGAGAUCGGGAGGAAUACCAGUGGCGAAGGCGGCCUUCUGGACUGACACUGACACUGAGGUGUGAAAGCGUGGGUAGCAAACAGGAUUAGAUACCCCAGUAGUC
RNAcentral lists this ribosomal RNA (465 nucleotides) under Vreelandella stevensii. RNAcentral describes it as "partial 16S ribosomal RNA". It matches the Rfam family "Bacterial small subunit ribosomal RNA", at positions 338 to 795 of the family's 1533-position model. The record is from RNAcentral. Lineage: Bacteria; Pseudomonadati; Pseudomonadota; Gammaproteobacteria; Oceanospirillales; Halomonadaceae.